GGAGGUUGUUGAUAGUCUUUGGCAGAGAUUCAGAACCCUGCAUUUUAAGUCUGUAAGAUAUUUCACAAGAGAGGCUGUGCAAAUGCUGAGGAUCUUUAGGCAAACAAAGACAGAAAACUACUUUAUCAAGCUGCAGCUCAAGUCAUCAGAGCAACAUAUCCUUGAAUUUCAUACAUGUUGAAAUAUGUUGUAUACCAAACAUGGUAAAUCUGCACCAAAUAAUAAGUUGUUCAGCUGGUUCAAUUCAAAGUGACAAUGUUAGUUUAAGAGGAAAAACAAUUUUACAUGCUACUUCUGCUUUAAAUUAUUUUAUAGUCUAUCUGUGGUUAAGUAAAUAGCUAAAUUAUUAAUUGCAGGAAAGUAUUUUAAAACAACCGAGAAAAGUUAUCUUUCAGGAUUAUUUAACAUGCCCUGCCAUUGCAGAAGGUCCUAGGAAUAUUUAAAAUAUGCUAAAGUCCCCAAGGGCACUUUAUACAAAGGAUGCAUUUUACCCAAAGGAUGGAAAGAUCAAGAGGGGGCAAACAAGCCAGCAGAGACCCCCCCAAAAAAUAUCCUUAGGGGCUGGUUCCCAAAGGGAUACCUCUCUGGAUGCCUGUGUGUCAAAACCCAGGACAUCUCUCUGGAUGCUCUGGAUGUCUCAAAGCCCUGGCACGGGCUUGGAGACCCUGGCAGAAAGUCAAAGACACCUGGAAAUUUGAUCUCAACUCAUGGAGCAAAUUACCAACAUUAUAUGAAGAAUUACAGGUCACAAAAGUUUAAGUAGCAUAGUAGUAGCAAUCACAGGGUGAAGGGAAAAAUUUUGGAGCACUGUACAGGGGGGUUUUGAACCUUCUACAAGGGGGUUUGGAAUUCUGUACAUGGGGGUCAGGGGUUCUAAGAUGGAGGGAUUUGGGCGUGCCCUGUCCUUCUUCUUUCUUCUCCUUGGCAUCCAUGUUCAGGAUGAUGUUGGCAUUCACAGAUUGGUUUAGAGUAGAAAGUCACUGUUUAACAUAGGUGAUAGGUAUUAGAAAAUAACUGUAAACAUAGUAUACGUAGUUUUUAGUAUAAAAGAUAGCACCAGCCCGAAAGGCAGAGAGUGUGCCUCAGACAGACCUGCAGAACAGACCUUGGCAGGCCAGACAGAAAAUGUUUGAGGUAAAGAAAUAAUAAACAACCUUGAGAACGUGAACCGAAGACUUCUCGACUCCUUCGGCUGCUGGGCUGGGGAAAAGAGACUUUUAACAGAGACACACCUUGGGAUCUUCCCAACCAGACCAGAGGAGAUCCGGAGACCUGUGCAAGUCUUCUGCUCAGCAAAGGCUAUCAUCAUCCUAUCAUCAGCAGCCUCAUUGUGGGAGCUCCACGACCAUGUACACCCAUUUCCUCCUAGCUCACAAGCUCCAUGCUGGAGCCUCAGUGCUGCUGUCCUGACAGCCAUCCCAGCCAUCCUGGCCUCUCCAAGCUAAGAAAAGCAGUGAUGCUGAGACUGGUGGCUCUGCACAAGACUUACAGCAAGCCCCUAUAUCUAUCACCAAGCCAGAAGAUGGACAAGCACAAGUGCUUCUGAAGCAGAUAGAAGUAUCCAUUACCAGAGGGCACAAGACAACUACAUCAAUGGACUGUAUAGC
Molecule: long non-coding RNA, 1607 nt
Organism: Passer domesticus (house sparrow)
Lineage: Eukaryota; Metazoa; Chordata; Aves; Passeriformes; Passeridae
Exons: 4
Source: RefSeq, a predicted model, not a curated record